GAUGAAGAACGCAGCGAAAUGCGAUAAGUAAUGUGAAUUGCAGAAUUCAGUGAAUCAACGAAUCUUUGAACGCACAUUGCGCCCGCUAGUAUUCUGGCGGGCAUGCCUGUUCGAGCGUCAUUUCAACCAUCAAGCCCUGCUUGUGUUGGGGUCCUGCGGCUGCCCGCAGGCCCUGAAAACCAGUGGCGGGCUCGCUAGUCACACCGAGCGCAGUAGCACAUCUCGCUCAGGGCGUGCGGCGGGUUCUUGCCGUAAAACACCCCCUUUUUACCAAGGUUGACCUCGGAUCAGGUAGGAAUACCCGCUGAACUUAAGCAUAUCAAUAAGCGGAGGA
RNAcentral lists this unclassified non-coding RNA (334 nucleotides) under soil metagenome. RNAcentral's name for it is "partial contains 5.8S ribosomal RNA, internal transcribed spacer 2, and large subunit ribosomal RNA". The stretch from base 1 to 120 matches the Rfam family "5.8S ribosomal RNA", at positions 35 to 154 of the family's 154-position model. The record is from RNAcentral.